CAGCCCCUGCGAGCACCGUAGUGCCAACAGAAAGUGCAACCACGUCAGCCAUUGCACAAACAGCUGCAGAGCCAUGGACAGCACCGGCUAUAUUCUAUCCAUUUCGCUCAGCAGCAGGAGACACAGAACAUUUUCUUACAGGCGAUGAAAGCUAUGAAUCUGUUGCCUUAUCCACUCCAUAUACAUUCUUUGGCCGCACAUACAACAGCUUAUAUGUUCAUUAUAACGGACUCCUUACGUUCAACCAACCUGAACCAGCAUCUGGACCUAACUAUA
Molecule: long non-coding RNA, 276 nt
Organism: Carassius auratus (goldfish)
Lineage: Eukaryota; Metazoa; Chordata; Actinopteri; Cypriniformes; Cyprinidae
Exons: 5
Source: RefSeq, a predicted model, not a curated record